AACGUAGGAGGCGAGCGUUAUCCGGAUUUACUGGGCGUAAAGCGUGUGUAGGCGGUUUGAUAAGUUGGAUGUGAAAGCUCCCGGCUCAACCGGGAGAGGUCGUUCAAAACUAUCAGACUAGAGAGUGGUAGAGGGAGGUGGAAUUCCGCGUGUAGUGGUGAAAUGCGUAGAUAUGCGGAGGAACACCAGUGGCGAAAGCGGCCUCCUGGCCCAUUUCUGACGCUCAGACACGAAAGCUAAGGUAGCAAACGGGAUUAGAUACCCGUGUAGUCCCUGA
This 277-nucleotide ribosomal RNA is filed under the name uncultured prokaryote. RNAcentral's name for it is "partial 16S ribosomal RNA". It matches the Rfam family "Bacterial small subunit ribosomal RNA", at positions 524 to 800 of the family's 1533-position model. The record is from RNAcentral.